RNAcentral lists this ribosomal RNA (1310 nucleotides) under Rhinotermitidae sp. BYU_ACIS002. RNAcentral's name for it is "eukaryotic LSU rRNA". It matches the Rfam family "Eukaryotic large subunit ribosomal RNA", at positions 666 to 1864 of the family's 3401-position model. The record is from RNAcentral. Lineage: Eukaryota; Metazoa; Arthropoda; Insecta; Blattodea; Rhinotermitidae.
CCAAGGAGUCUAACAUGUGCGCGAGUCACUGGGAUAUGCUAAACCCAGAGGCGCAGUGAAAGCGUGGGGCUCGCCCGGCUUAACGCCGAGGCGACGCGAAGGGAGCACGGCCGGUCGUUCCAGACCGGUGCGGCCGGCCAGCACUCCCGGGGCGCCUAGGCCUCGGCUGCAGGCGCACCCGGAGCGCACACGUUGGGACCCGAAAGAUGGUGAACUAUGCCCGGCCAGACGAAGUCAGGGUAAACCAUGAUGGAGGUCCGCAGCGAUUCUGACGUGCAAAUCGAUCGUCACAGCUAGGUAUAGGGGCGAAUGACUAAUCGAACCAUCUAGUAGAUGGUUCCCUCCGACGUUUCCCUCAGGAUAGCUGGCGCCGAGUUGGAGUGGGUCAGUCUCAUCCGGUAAAGCGAAUGAUUAGAGGCCUUGGGGCCGAAACGACCUCAACCUAUUCUCAAACUUUAAAUGGGUGAGAUCUCCGGCUUGCUUGAGCGAAGCCGCGAGAAGACGGAUGAUGGUGCCAAGUGGGCCAAUUUUGGUAAGCAGAACUGGCGCUGUGGGAUGAACCAAACGCCGGGUUAAGGCGCCUAAACCGGAGCUCAUGGGAGACCAUGAAAGGCGUUGGUUGCUUAAGACAGCAGGACGGUGGCCAUGGAAGUCGGAAUCCGCUAAGGAGUGUGUAACAACUCACCUGCCGAAGCAACUAGCCCUGAAAAUGGAUGGCGCUAAAGCUCCGUGCCUAUACCCGGCCGCCGGAAGGCAAGGCCGCUAUGCUGAAGCCCCGGCGAGUAGGAGGGCGCCGCGGUGAGCGCGGAAGGGUCUGGGCGUGAGCCCGCCUGGAGCCGCCGCCGGUGCAGAUCUUGGUGGUAGUAGCAAAUACUCAAGCGAGGGCCUUGAGGGCUGAUGCGGAGAAGGGUUUCGUGUGAACAGCCGUUGCACACGAGUCAGUCGAUCCUAAGCCCUAGGAGAAAUCCGAUGCCGAUGAGGCGGGGUGGCUACCCGCCCGUCGAGGGCGAAAGGGAAUCCGGUUCCUAUUCCGGAACCCGGCAGCGGAACCGAACCGUCGGGCCCUCGCAAGAGAAGCUCGUCGGGGUAACCCAAAGGGACCCGGAGACGCCGUCGGGAGACCCGGGCAGAGUUUUCUGUUCUGCAUAAGCGUUCGAGUUCCCUGGAAUCCUCUAGCAGGGAGGUAGGGUUUGGAACGCGAAGAGCACCGCAGUUGCGGCGGUGUCCGGGUCGUCCCCUCGGACCUUGAAAAUCCGGGAGAGGGCUACGCGGAGGUGUCGCGCCGGCUCGUACCCAUAUCCGCAGCUGGU